AAUGAUGGCCACGCUGUCUCCANCCCGAGACUCAGUGAAAUUGAAAUCGCUGUGAAGAUGCAGUGUACCCGCGGCUAGACGGAAAGACCCCGUGAACCUUUACUACAGCUUGGCACUGAACAUUGACCCUACAUGUGUAGGAUAGGUGGGAGGCUUUGAAGCACGUACGCCAGUAUGUGUGGAGCCGUCCUUGAAAUACCACCCUUGUAGUGUUGAUGUUCUAACGUCGACCCCUAAUCGGGGUUGCGGACAGUGCCUGGUGGGUAGUUUGACUGGGGCGGUCUCCUCCCAAAGAGUAACGGAGGAGCACGAAGGUGGGCUAAUCACGGUUGGACAUCGUGAGGUUAGUGCAAUGGCAUAAGCCGCUUGACUGCGAGAAUGACAAUUCGAGCAGGUGCGAAAGCAGGUCAUAGUGAUCCGGUGGUUCUGAAUGGAAGGGCCAUCGCUCAACGGAUAAAAGGUACUCCGGGGAUAACAGGCUGAUACCGCCCAAGAGUUCAUAUCGACGGCGGUGUUUGGCACCUCGAUGUCGGCUCAUCACAUCCUGGGGCUGAAGUCGGUCCCAAGGGUAUGGCUGUUCGCCAUUUAAAGUGGUACGCGAGCUGGGUUUAGAACGUCGUGAGACAGUUCGGUCCCUAUCUGCCGUGGGCGUUGGAAGAUUGAAGGGGGCUGCUCCUAGUACGAGAGGACCGGAGUGGACGAACCUCUGGUGUUCGGGUUGUGUCGCCAGACGCAUUGCCCGGUAGCUAAGUUCGGAAUCGAUAACCGCUGAAAGCAUCUAAGCGGGAAGCGAGCCCUGAGAUGAGUCUUCCCUGAUACUUUAAGUAUCCUAAAGGGUUGUCGGAGACUACGACGUUGAUAGGUCAGGUGUGUAAGUGCUGUGAGGCAUUGAGCUAACUGAUACUAAUUGCCCGUGAGGCUUAACCAUACAACACCCAAGGGGUUU
Molecule: ribosomal RNA, 946 nt
Filed under: Vibrio parahaemolyticus M0605
Lineage: Bacteria; Pseudomonadati; Pseudomonadota; Gammaproteobacteria; Vibrionales; Vibrionaceae
Description: bacterial LSU rRNA
Rfam family: Bacterial large subunit ribosomal RNA
Source: RNAcentral